ACUCCUACGGGGAGGCACAGUGGGGGAAUAUUGCACAAUGGGGGGAAACCCUGAUGCAGCCAUGCCGCGUGUGUGAAGAAGGCCUUCGGGUUGUAAAGCACUUUCAGUAGGGAGGAAGGUAGUGUAGUUAACACCUGCAUUAUUUGACGUUACCUACAGAAGAAGCACCGGCUAACUCCGUGCCAGCAGCCGCGGUAAUACGGAGGGUGCGAGCGUUAAUCGGAAUUACUGGGCGUAAAGCGCAUGCAGGUGGUUUGUUAAGUCAGA
RNAcentral lists this ribosomal RNA (267 nucleotides) under uncultured bacterium. RNAcentral's name for it is "partial 16S ribosomal RNA". It matches the Rfam family "Bacterial small subunit ribosomal RNA", at positions 335 to 592 of the family's 1533-position model. The record is from RNAcentral.